AUACCAAUACUUUGAAUUUAUAUUUAAAUAGUAUAAAAUAAAGUAAUGAUUAUUUAAAUGAGAUUAGGAUAAAUGAGUAUAGUAAUUGUAGGUAAAAUUUAAUUUUUAUAAUUAAUUAUAUUAUCCUAAUUGUAAAUUCUUUGAAAAUAAGAUUUGAGUAGACUAGGAUUAGAGACCCUAUUAUUCUUUAUUUUAAAAAUUUUAUUAUUUAAGUAGUAAGAGCUAAAUAAUAAUUAGUGAUAUUUAAUUUAGAUUGUGCUUGAAACUUAAAAGGCUUGGCGGUAUUAUAUAUCCUUCCAGGGGAGCUUGCUUAUUAAUUUGAUAUUCCUCAAUUUAUACUUACUUUUUCUUGAAUAAUUACAGUUUGUGUAUUGCUGUCGUCAGUUUAUUUUGUAAAAAUUUUGGAAAAAACUUUAUAAUGGAUGGAUUAUG
Molecule: ribosomal RNA, 432 nt
Filed under: Heterololigo bleekeri (Bleeker's squid)
Lineage: Eukaryota; Metazoa; Mollusca; Cephalopoda; Myopsida; Loliginidae
Description: partial 12S rRNA
Source: RNAcentral